RNAcentral lists this long non-coding RNA (984 nucleotides) under Taeniopygia guttata (zebra finch). RNAcentral's name for it is "lncRNA (ENSTGUG00000019192.1)". The record is from RNAcentral. Lineage: Eukaryota; Metazoa; Chordata; Aves; Passeriformes; Estrildidae.
CAGACCUGGAGUUCCUGGAGGUCACUGGGAGGUCACUGGUGUUACUGGGGGUUACUGGUGUUACUGGGAGGUUACUGGGCGGUCACUGGGAGGUUACUGGUCCAUACUGGUGUCACUGGUGGCCCUUGACCCGUCAGACCUGGAGUUCCUGGAGGUUCUGACCGAGGGCCUGGGGCCGGUGCUGCUGGUGCGGGACGGGGACGGCGAGGGAGACCAGUAUGGAACUGGGAGCACUGGGAGCACUGGGAACGGCGCUGGGGAGCCCUGAGAGACCAGUGCUCCCAGUAUGGAACUGGGAAUGGAACUGGGAGCACUGGGAAUGGAACUGGGAGCACUGGGAGACCAGUAUGGAACUGGGAGCACUGGGAGCACUGGGAACGGCGCUGGGGAGCCCUGAGAGACCAGUAUGGAACUGGGAGUGGAACUGGGAGCACUGGGAGCACUGGGAACGGGGCUGGGGAGCCCUGAGAGACCAGUAUGGAACUGGGAGCACUGGGAGCACUGGGAAUGGGACUGGGAGCACUGAGAGACCGGUAUGGAACUGGGAAUGGAACUGGGAGUACUGGGAAUGGAACUGGGAGUACUGGGAAUGGAACUGGAAUGGGCCCAGUGCUCCCAGUAUGGGACUGGGAUGGUCCCAGUGCUCCCAGUAUGGGACUGGGAUGGGCCCAGUGCUCCCAGUAUGGAACUGGGAUGGUCCCAGUGCUCCCAGUAUGGGACUGGAAUGGUCCCAGUGCUCCCAGUAUGGAACUGGGAUGGUCCCAGUGCUCCCAGUAUGGGACUGGGAAUGGUCCCAGUGCUCCCAGUAUGGAACUGGGAUGGGCCCAGUGCUCCCAGUAUGGGACUGGGAUGGGCCCAGUGCUCCCAGUAUGGAACUGGGAUGGUUUUUUGCACUUUGAUCUCACCAAAGACCCUCAAUAAAUGACCCAAAAAUGGAAUUUUUGGGAGAAAAAGGAGCCGGAAGUUGCAGUUCUUGACCGCGGA